Non-coding RNA from Acanthosepion pharaonis, 112 nucleotides. Lineage: Eukaryota; Metazoa; Mollusca; Cephalopoda; Sepiida; Sepiidae. The record is from the annotation of a GenBank genome assembly.
UAUGACCAUAUCACGUUCAAACACCGGUUUUCGUACGAUCACCGAAGUUAAGUAAUAUCGAGAUUAGUCAGUACUUAAAUGGGUGACUAUUUGGGAAUACCGGACGCUGUAA